Long non-coding RNA from Ochotona curzoniae (black-lipped pika), 1017 nucleotides. RefSeq lists it as uncharacterized. The record is from RefSeq and is a predicted model, not a curated record. The transcript has 3 exons. Lineage: Eukaryota; Metazoa; Chordata; Mammalia; Lagomorpha; Ochotonidae.
AUCCUUGCAAGUCGGGCUGUCUUAACACCUGCCGGCACGAUUUUGCAAUCGAAAAGGAAAAAAAAAAAAAAACACCAUUCUCAACAACCGUCACAAAAUGAGGACCAGCCCUCGGGUACCAGCAACGCAACCAUCCCGUGAUGGUGACCAGGCGCGUGGACUGCGUGGGCCGAGGGGCUGAGGGCAGCCGGUGGUCUUGAGGCCGGGCCCCAAGCCCGAGGAGUUGAACUAACAAAGAGCAAAUUGCCCCCGAAGCCCCCCACGCCUCCCUCCGGCGAGCCCGCCCCGCGACCCUCCCCAAGUUGAGGGCCCAGCACGCCGAUUCGCGGCGGGGCCUGCAGCCAGGCCGAGGCCGAGGCCGGGGCCGGAUUUGCGGUUGGGAUGCGGGAGACAGCUAGAGGACUCACAAAGUCUUUUAUCUGUCCCUCGGAUGACAUCUUACCACUUCCGAGCCCUGAGGAUUCUCGCCCAAGCCUUCAGCCAUGUUCUUCUCUGCAACAGGGCCCCGUACAGCAGAGCGUGCAGGACCUGUGCACUUCGCGUCCUAAAGCUAACACAUCUAAGGAGUUUAACGGUGCUGAAUGUCCUUGACAAGUAAGGGCCCAGCAUGACUUUGAGUAGAGAAACUGGCAAUAGAUAUGCCCAACUGCCUUGUUCCUGCUCCUUGGAGAGCUGCCUGAGAUGGCUGUUGGCCCUGUCCCUCACGUGUUUUGCCAAAUGUGUCUCUUGCUCUCCUUUCCCAACCGUGGAUUGUUUCCUCUUGUAGCCCAAAUCUCUCCAAAGUUAUUUCCAAUCCCUCCCACCUUCCAACAAAAGCUAGCUUUAUUUAUUGCUGACAGUACUUUAACAUACACUGUAUGUUAUCAUUUGUUGCCUGCAUUUGGAAUCCAAAUGCAAGUUUCUCCACAGCACUGUACAGCUAACAUCAAAUUGGAGCACAGCUACAGGUAUACAUGGACAAAAUAGUACAUUUAAAAAAACUAUCAUUGGACAUGACAUGAUAGUCCAGUAGCUAAA